UGAUCAUACUGUAUGUUGUUCAUGUGUAUUUAUCAUACUGUAUUUUGAUCAUGUGUAUUGAUCUCCUUGUCUGUAUUCCAGAUGAACCGACCCAUCCAGGUAAAACCAGCUGACAGCGAGGGGAGAGGAGAAGACAGGAAGUUGUUUGUGGGCAUGCUGGGUAAACAGCAGAGUGAUGAAGACGUCAAGAGGCUGUUUGAGCCCUUUGGCACUAUAGACGAGUGUACUGUACUACGGGGGCCAGACGGCACCAGUAAAGGUUGUGCGUUUGUGAAGUACCAGGGACAUGCUGAAGCUCAGGCUGCCAUUAGCACCCUGCAUGGGAGCCGCACACUGCCUGGUGCGUCGUCCAGUCUGGUGGUGAAGUUUGCCGACACAGAGAAGGAGAGAGGGCUGAGACGGAUGCAGCAGGUGGCAUCACAGCUGGGCAUCUUCAGCCCCACCAUGACACUUAACUUCCCUGCUUACAACGCUUACACACAGGCCGUCAGCGCACAGGCGAUUGUCCAGCAACAAGCUCUGGUUGCUCAGUCAGCGUACCUGUCUCCUGUAGCAACUGUUGCCAGUUUACAGAUGCAGCAGAUGGCAGCGCUCAACGCAAACGGAAUCAUCGCCACGCCAAUCACAUCUUCCUCUGAGUCUAGUAGCUGUCAAUCACAAUAUCUCCUCCACUGUGAUUGGUCCUCCCGGUUUGCAGGUACGAAUACCCCUCCAACCAUCUCAGCCACGCCCGUGCCAUCACUACCUCCACCUCUAGGAGUCAAUGGUUACAGUCCACCAACCAAUGGACAGCAAGCAUCAGAAGCACUAUACACCAAUGGCAUUCAUGCGUACCAAGCCCAGAGUCCAGCAUUAUCUCUAGAUCCUCUCCAGCAGGCGUAUGCAGGCAUGCAGCACUACACAGCGGCGUACCCUGCUGCCUAUGGAUUGGUCGGCCAGCAUUUUCCACAGCAACCUACCCUGGUUGCCCAGCAACACCAGCAGCCCCAGCAACAGCAGCAGCGAGAAGGGCCGGAGGGUUGUAAUAUCUUUAUCUACCACCUGCCUCAGGAGUUCAGUGACAGUGAGAUGCUCCAGAUGUUUCUGCCCUUUGGAAACGUCAUCUCAGCUAAAGUCUUUGUAGACCGCGCCACCAACCAGAGCAAGUGCUUCGGUUUUGUGAGUUUUGACAACCCAUCCAGUGCCCAGACUGCCAUCCAGGCUAUGAAUGGGUUCCAGAUCGGCAUGAAGAGACUCAAGGUGCAGCUGAAACGACCUAAAGACGCCAACCGCCCCUACUGAAGGAGAGAGGAGAGAGAUCCUCCCGUCCAAUCAUAAUUCGCGGGGAUCCCAUCACUAUGGUUACCUAGCGACCGAUAAAGCCCCGACCCCCCUUCCUCUCACGUGUUGUGAAGUUUUCAGACUCCGGCCGUGGUGGAAUCCCAGCGUACAUUGCGCCCUCAGACCUACUACCUUUCUUUUGAGCGACGGGGAACAGCACACAUACACACACACACACACACACACACACACACACACACACAAACACACACACACACAUUGCACUCUAAAAGGACCAAGGCACAGAUAUUGACCAAUGUACAUAUUAUAGUCCUCACACACACAAACACUCACAUACUUUCAAAUACAUAUAUGUCAGUAAUCGUACCCAUUGAACUGGACUCAGUUUGAAAAUGGUUUGUGAGGAGUUUGUCUGGAGUGUGUAGGGCAGUGAAGAUCACAUACAUACACGACCCAGGAAGUACUUACUAAAGUCAUUGAUGAGAUGAUGAAUAAUGGUGAUAUAUCACUUCUUUGGACCAUAACAUGUCAUAUUACAUGGCUAUUACAUGUGUAUAACAUGAUACAAAUAGGAAGGCCUCCAUUUCGUAAUAAAAAAAGGAAAACAGGAAAAAAUAUUGAGACAAAAAUGAAUAAUUUAGAGAAACUUUGGAGAGAGAUCCUUAUGGCCUGUAAAUAAUUUAGUUUAAGAAGAGUAACAUUUAGAAAAUUACAAAAAAAUGCAAAAAGAGAGUACUUUAGAUAAAUCACUGAAAAAUGACACAAUAUUAUUAUUAUUAUGAUUAUUAUUGUUAUUAUUAUUAUUAUCUUCGUUAGGGGAUAUUGUAUUAGAAAUAAAGAAAGGGGAGAAUCACAAACAUAUUUUCAAUUUCUACUUAGAUUUUAGGAUAAAUGUAGGUGGGAGGGACUGCACCUUUUCUGAGAGGUUUUAAUAUUUGAACAAUUUUUUAUUUAUUGACUAAUUUAUCAAUUAUUUUUGUUAAUAGGAAGAAAUGAUGAAGGGUUUAAAGGGGAAACGAGUUUCUGAUUUUAGAAUUUUUUAGAGCAAAAAAGGGUCUGUUUCUGUCAGACUCUGUCAGAGUAAUUAUAAUUAUGAAUGAAUUAUUACAACAAUGAUAUUUAUUUCUUAUUUAUUGAGUCUGUUUUUGAUCCAAUCUCUUUUUAAGUUAAAAUAAAAAGUAUUAUACAUCAAA
Molecule: RNA transcript, 2474 nt
Organism: Oncorhynchus keta (chum salmon)
Lineage: Eukaryota; Metazoa; Chordata; Actinopteri; Salmoniformes; Salmonidae
Gene name: CUGBP Elav-like family member 3
Exons: 11
Source: RefSeq, a predicted model, not a curated record